GUUCAGGCUCACGACCUCAUAUCACAGAAAUGAACUCAAAGGAAAAUGACUAAUCACCGACCUACUCAGAAUCAUUGGUCCCCGGCAAGCAAGGGUGAUCCUGCAUCAAUCUAUUAAUUUUCAUUUCCAGGGUUCUCAGAUGUAAAACAAAUGUUUGAUGUAAUCCGCAACACUGCUCUGUUAUAAUUAAACAACCUCCUACUGCCUAAAUUGGCAAAGCACUCCAUCGAUCAGUGAUAAAUGUGGUCCUUGGGAGACUGCUUUUAUGUUUGUUUCACUCAUGGGAAAAUGGCCACAACCCUUUUGUAAGAUUCCUCGGCUGCUGCUCUCCCCAGGUUACAAUCAUAGUAACUGCUGCUUCUGGGAUGCCUCGCUGUAAUCCUCAUGUUCAAUGAUGGCUCAAUGGAUAUGUGCUUGAA
This 419-nucleotide long non-coding RNA is filed under the name Homo sapiens (human). Its description in RNAcentral is "non-protein coding lnc-UXS1-2:1". The record is from RNAcentral. Lineage: Eukaryota; Metazoa; Chordata; Mammalia; Primates; Hominidae.